CCUACGGGAGGCAGCAGUGAGGAAUAUUGGACAAUGGAGGAGACUCUGAUCCAGCCAUGCCGCGUGCAGGAAGACUGCCCUAUGGGUUGUAAACUGCUUUUAUACAGGAAGAAACACUAGUACGUGUACUAGCUUGACGGUACUGUAAGAAUAAGGACCGGCUAACUCCGUGCCAGCAGCCGCGGUAAUACGGAGGGUCCGAGCGUUAUCCGGAAUCAUUGGGUUUAAAGGGUCCGCAGGCGGUCGAUUAAGUCAGAGGUGAAAUCCCAUAGCUUAACUAUGGAACUGCCUUUGAUACUGGUUGACUUGAGUCAUAUGGAAGUAGAUAGAAUGUGUAGUGUAGCGGUGAAAUGCAUAGAUAUUACACAGAAUACCGAUUGCGAAGGCAGUCUACUACGUAUGUACCGACGCUCAUGGACGAAAGCGUGGGGAGCGAACAGGAUUAGAUACCCUGGUAGUCCACGCCGUAAACGAUGGACACUAGUUGUUGGGAUUUAUCUCAGUGACUAAGCGAAAGUGAUAAGUGUCCCACCUGGGGAGUACGAUCGCAAGAUUGAAACUCAAAGGAAUUGACGG
RNAcentral lists this ribosomal RNA (576 nucleotides) under uncultured bacterium. RNAcentral's name for it is "bacterial SSU rRNA". It matches the Rfam family "Bacterial small subunit ribosomal RNA", at positions 338 to 916 of the family's 1533-position model. The record is from RNAcentral.